Molecule: long non-coding RNA, 2932 nt
Organism: Cynara cardunculus var. scolymus (artichoke)
Lineage: Eukaryota; Viridiplantae; Streptophyta; Magnoliopsida; Asterales; Asteraceae
Exons: 3
Source: RefSeq, a predicted model, not a curated record
AAAUUUCAUCUCGUCGACAACCGUCUGUAUAUCCUGUCUUCAUAUUGGGAAAAUCUCAGAUCUGAUGUCGAGCCUUUCGAGUUUGAUUCGAUCAACAUGUUAUCGAGGUAGAUCGGUAGACGAUCUACGUUUUGAUGUGGUUUUUUCUUUUGGAUCUAUCUAUUGGUCCUGUAUUUUUUUUUCAAAGAACUGAUUGGUUUGAUGUGAGUUGUUGAUUUCCGUCAUCGAUCUACCUUGAACGGUCAGCAUCUGAUUUAUCCGGCAUGGAUCUGUUGUCAACGUUUCAGAUCUGCAAUUUGCUGCUCGAUAGCAGAUUGGAAGGAGAGGGGAAGGGUUAAGCGUCUAUCGGGUCAUUGAAAGAUUCUAGAAUUAUGUUUUUCUUGUGAAGAGUCACCGGUCCCUAUGGUUGCCUGUUCGUUGUGGCUGGGUGACUUCCUAUGAUGGUCGUGAUUCAGUUGAAUUUACGGCUACGAAACGUUUGGUCCGCUUGUGUUGAUCAUCAGAAUCUAAGUCGGUCUCAUCUUUGUUAUCAAAGAUUGACUCGCUGGAACUCCAUGUUCAUGUACCUUUGGGAACUUGAAGUGUGGAAUUGACAUCCAGGUUUGUAUGUAGAGCAAGUAGUUGGAUGGAACGGGACUCGUUUGUUGUAGGAGCUGUGUAAGUCCUAUUGCCUCCUGUUAUCUAGCCUUUGCCAUGUUGGGUGCGCUCGCAUGGCAGGCCAUCAUAUCCUAAUAAAAGAAGAACAGUUUUUGUUUUGAGGGGAGGUCGCACGGGGUUUGCCCGGGAUCUCUCCUCUGGUGUGCGCCUUAUUUUGUGUGUGUGUGUGAAUUUGCGUUUAUGCGUUGGCGCUCUAUCGGUUCUCAAAGCCUCUUACAGUCCAAAUGUUCAAUCCGUGGCAACAGCAACAACCAUUAUCCAAGUGAACCCCCAUCAACAUUAAGCAUCACCUGAUUCUCAUCCAAAAGGUACUAUCUGUCAAACUGCUUGUCGUGGUCCUGUACAAUAUAUGUCGCAAAUUUUGGUCAAAUGAUAUGAUACAUCAUGGCUACUUAAUUGGCCUUUUGAACCAACAAUUUUUUUAAAUUGCACCACAAACAUUUUCGCCACAAGGCUCUAGUUUCAUGAGUAAGAGCUUUUUGUGCAAGUCACAUAAGACUACCUUUGACAUGCAUAAGAAACCUAUAAAUCUUCUGGAAUAUAAAUGACGACGAUGAUCCAACGGUGCUUUAUAAAUGGAUGUUGGUCUAAAAGAUAUAUCGUUAUUUGUUUUAACAGGUUCACAAUAAAUUUUGUUAGUCCUUUAAAUUUGGUUAUCAAACUUCUCCAUUCAACCGCCUCACAACAUUCAUAUAAAAUAGUUUCUUCCCUGAAUAGUUUUGUUCAAUUUGCAAACCAUGUUUUUAAGAGCUUCCAUUAGAAACAGAAUUUGGCCACUCUGCAUACGAUGGUGUGCUGUGUUCUACUUGAUAAUAGCACAUGCCAUGUUUGGCUUUCGGAAAUUUUUAUGGAUACAUCUGUCUUGCACCUGACAAUCUCAAUAUGCGCCGACUGACAAAUUGUAUAAUGGUAAUCUGAUUAAUGCUCUGAUAAUUUGUAACCCGGUAACUGUGCAUAACUGAACAAAUGUAUAGCUUCUAAAACCAAAGCUGUUCGCAACUUCAUGCUAUGAUCCAUUUAUUCAUUUUCUGGGUUCUUGAUUGUAUUUUGCUACAUUUAAAGAGGUCUUGAGACCAUUUUCAUGUUUGUUUUGUACUGGACACCCAUGUACAUGGUGGUUUCUGUUGUUAAUGGGUUAGGUUCUGUUGAAGUGUUCAAUCGUCUUGUAUGUUAUGGUCGCCUGACCUUCUAUUAGGAGGUGGUUGGUAAGAGCUGGAAAUUUCAGAUACCGUCUUUGUCAGAGCUACUGGUUGUUUGACCUUAAUCACCCUCAACUGUUGAUGUAAUAUCUUGUUGGAAGGGAGGACUUUAAGCUAAACUGUUGGGGGGCAUAUCUGCUGCUGGAACUUCCUCUUCUUUAGGUGGACCAAGGAGCUCGCUGAUUUACAAGAGUUGGGACUGGAAGUGCUGCUGCCUCUGCUGCUGAUGGGGGUCAUCAAGUUUGUGGCUUCUGUUUCCUGAUCAGCUGUCUGGUAUGUUUAUUAUACUGUUGGUGACUUGGCUAUUUGCAUCCAACCCUCAGCAUUAGCGGUGAAUGGUUGUCACUCAUGAUCUGUCUUGCACUUGACAACCCUUGGAACUAGCGGUUUGAAUGCAUGACAGGUUUUGGUACUUGCAUGUGGCUUGCAAGGUAAGGUUGUCACUCAUGAUCUGUUCAUAUGUGGCUUCUCAAAUGAUCCAGCUGUUACUCAUGGCUUCUCAUAUGAUCAAAGUGAUGUGAUUCCGUUUCGAUGUUUUCUUAAUGAUAUCAGGAGUCUAAUUGGAUGUUCUCUCUUGCCAUGUGAUACCUUAGCUGCGGAUAUCUGUUGAUUGGUAUCUUCUAUCCCAAUUUUCAUUGCUGUAACUUUAACCAGUUUUGAAGCAGUAAAUUUUUUCUAUAUCCCAGUUUUGGUAGUUUGUUUUCCAGUAUCCUAUUGGAACUCAUUUUUGCAGAUUAGCUGAUCGGAUGGUGUCAUGAACUUUUGGUUGGACCAUUAAACCAAAUGUGUUUUCUUAGGUUGCAUGCAGGACACUGAAAUUUCAUUGAUUUGUGGAUGAAGUUUUAGCUGUUUCCUGUAGAUGCUUCUCACCUAAAAUUCUAUAUUGCUUCUCUAUCUUUUUGUUGUAUAUGUUCUUUAUCCUUUUAAGCACUCUUUCCAUGUUUUUCCCCCCUUUCAACAUGGAAUAUAGUGGGAUUCUUUAAGUAUCCAGUUUUGUUUUCUGGAGCAAAAAGUGGUUUAUCGAUUUGAUUUUAUUGCACCGUGGAUUGUGGUAUCAUCUAUAUAAGCUUUUUUGU